AUUGAACGCUGGCGGCAGGCCUAACACAUGCAAGUCGAACGAGCGGCGGACGGGUGAGUAAUGUCUGGGAAACUGCCUGAUGGAGGGGGAUAACUACUGGAAACGGUAGCUAAUACCGCAUACCAUCGGAUGUGCCCAGAUGGGAUUAGCUUGUAGGUGGGGUAACGGCUCACCUAGGCGACGAUCCCUAGCUGGUCUGAGAGGAUGACCAGCCACACUGGAACUGAGACACGGUCCAGACUCCUACGGGAGGCAGCAGUGGGGAAUAUUGGACAAUGGACGAAAGCCUGAUGCAGCCACGCCGCGUGUAUGAAGAAGGCCUUCGGAUUGUAAAGCACUGUCGUCGGGGAGGCGGUACCCACAGAGAAAGCACCGGCUAACUCCGUGCCAGCAGCCGCGGUAAUAC
Molecule: ribosomal RNA, 406 nt
Filed under: uncultured bacterium
Lineage: Bacteria
Description: partial 16S ribosomal RNA
Rfam family: Bacterial small subunit ribosomal RNA
Source: RNAcentral